CCUACGGGGGGCUGCAGUGGGGAAUAUUGCGCAAUGGGCGAAAGCCUGACGCAGCGACGCCGCGUGAGGGAUGAAGGUCUUCGGAUCGUAAACCUCUGUCAGCAGGGAAGAACGGUCAUUGUGCUAAUCAGCAGUGAAUUGACGGUAUCUGCAAAGGAAGCACCGGCUAACUCCGUGCCAGCAGCCGCGGUAAUACGGAGGGUGCGAGCGUUAAUCGGAAUUACUGGGCGUAAAGCGCUCGUAGGCGGUAUGUCAAGUCAAGGGUGAAAGCCCCGCGCUCAACGUGUGAACUGCCUUUGAAACUGGCAAACUGGAGUGUGGGAGAGGAUAGUGGAAUUCGAGGUGUAGGAGUGAAAUGCGUAGAUAUCUGGAAGAACAUCAGUGGCGAAGGCGACUAUCUGGCACAUAACUGACGCUGAGGAGCGAAAGCGUGGGUAGCAAACAGGAUUAGAUACCCUGGUAGUC
RNAcentral lists this ribosomal RNA (465 nucleotides) under uncultured bacterium. RNAcentral describes it as "partial 16S ribosomal RNA". It matches the Rfam family "Bacterial small subunit ribosomal RNA", at positions 338 to 795 of the family's 1533-position model. The record is from RNAcentral.